This is a long non-coding RNA of Solea senegalensis (Senegalese sole), 617 nucleotides long. RefSeq lists it as uncharacterized. NCBI's taxonomy places the organism in Eukaryota, Metazoa, Chordata, Actinopteri, Pleuronectiformes, Soleidae. The record is from RefSeq and is a predicted model, not a curated record. The transcript has 4 exons.
CUUUGUUCCAGUGAAAACAGCUUGUUUUGCUCAACAACAAAGAUCCGCCUGGAACAAAUGCUGUACUCGCCUCAGUAUGACAUCAGCAGAAAAAAACGUUAUGUUUAAAUGAGUCUCUUAAGACUCAUGGUGACAAAAGCUGCCAUGCCCUUCCCCAGUGACAUCAUGGUUAAUAAUAUGGCUGCAGAUUAUACUGUGUCAGUGUGAACUGUGUCUCCCCAGGAAAAUUAUACACCGGAGAGAAGGUCAAGCACACCUAACACACAGUCAGCAGACAUGCAGGCUACUGAACCAUCCACUGUGAAUACUAUCCCUCUUCUCUGCAAAAACUCGGAGCACAAUGGUUGGAUCCGUUACUGUUAUACAAGAACUGGUGGUUGUUAAUGAUCAGGUUGGAAGCUGCUGAAAUGACAACCUUUGCCCCGUCAGAGUAAACAUAACCUCCCGUGGCCCUGAAGGCAUGAACAUAGUGACAAUACUCAGACGGGCUGUCACAUUCUCAUCGUGUCUGACAGCGCAAAGUGUGUCAAGAAAACAUUCCCCAUGUACCAUCACAACACCAGCAGCCGCCUGUUGUCCCCUGUUGGCUCCAUGGAUUCAUGCUGUUGACUCUUAAA